This 399-nucleotide ribosomal RNA is filed under the name Melaloncha gibberosa. RNAcentral describes it as "partial 12S ribosomal RNA". Lineage: Eukaryota; Metazoa; Arthropoda; Insecta; Diptera; Phoridae. The record is from RNAcentral.
CUAGGAUUAGAUACCCUAUUAUUUAAAAUGUAAAAACUAAAGUAUUAAUAGUUAUGAACUUUAAACUUAAAAAAUUUGGCGGUAUUUUAGUCUAUUCAGAGGAACCUGUUUUAUAAUCGAUAUUCCACGUUGAACCUUACUUUAAUUUAUAUAUUAGUUUAUAUAUCGUCGUUAUAAAAAAUUUUAUAAGAAUAAUAAUUUUUAAAAUUAUAUAUCAGAUCAAGGUGUAGCUUAUAUUAAAGAAAAUAAUGGGUUACAAUAAAUUUAUUUAUAUGGAUAUAAAAAUGAAAAAUUUAUUAAAAGAGGAUUUGAAAGUAAAAUUAUAAAGAUAAGUAAUUUGAUUUUAGCUCUAAAAUAUGUACAUAUCGCCCGUCACUCUUAUUAUUAAAAUAAGAUAAG